AGCGAACGCUAGCGGCGGGCCUAACACAUGCAAGUCGAGCGCAUACCUUCGGGUAUGAGCGGCGGACGGGUGAGUAACGCGUAGGUCAUCUACCCUUUGGUGGGGGAUAACCCAGGGAAACUUGGGCUAAUACCGCACGAGGUCCACGGAUCAAAGCCUUCGGGCGCCAGAGGAUGAGCCUGCGUCGCAUUACCUAGUUGGCGGGGUAACGGCCCACCAAGGGGACGAUGCGUAGCUGGUCUGAGAGGAUGAUCAGCCACACUGGGACUGAGACACGGCCCAGACUCCUACGGGAGGCAGCAGUGGGGAAUAUUGCGCAAUGGGGGAAACCCUGACGCAGCCACGCCGCGUGGGUGAUGAAGGCC
This 365-nucleotide ribosomal RNA is filed under the name uncultured bacterium. Its description in RNAcentral is "bacterial SSU rRNA". It matches the Rfam family "Bacterial small subunit ribosomal RNA", at positions 30 to 416 of the family's 1533-position model. The record is from RNAcentral.